Molecule: long non-coding RNA, 252 nt
Organism: Gadus macrocephalus (Pacific cod)
Lineage: Eukaryota; Metazoa; Chordata; Actinopteri; Gadiformes; Gadidae
Exons: 2
Source: RefSeq, a predicted model, not a curated record
GCACAUAGAUGCUUUACAGUCUCAGGGGAGGGGGGGGGGGAGGCAGGGUGGGGAAGGGUGACACAGCCGGGUUAAGAACACAUCCUGAAUGCCGUUGUGUUCCAGCUUCGUAUUUCUGUGUUUCUAAAGAUGGCCUGGCAGUCAAGAAUGCAUUUGUAUGUGUGUGUGUGUGUGUGUGUGUGUGUGUGUGUGUGUUGUGUAGUGUAUAAGUUUGCUGUAGGUGAAAUCGUCUCGCAGUUUGAGCUCAUGGGU